Molecule: ribosomal RNA, 254 nt
Filed under: uncultured prokaryote
Description: partial 16S ribosomal RNA
Rfam family: Bacterial small subunit ribosomal RNA
Source: RNAcentral
ACAGAGGUCCCGAGCGUUAGGCGGAAUCACUGGGCUUAAAGCGUGUGUAGGCGGAUUUGUAAGUACCUUGUGAAAUCCCACGGCUUAACCGUGGAACUGCUUGGUAUACUGCUUAUCUUGGGCCACUUAGGGGUUACCGGAACAAACGGUGGAGCGGUGAAAUGCGUAGAUAUCAAGAGGAACACCUGAGGCGAAGGCGGGUUGCUAGGCUGACACUGACGCUGAGUGCGCGAAAGCCAGGGGAGCAAACGGGA